RNAcentral lists this ribosomal RNA (252 nucleotides) under uncultured bacterium. Its description in RNAcentral is "partial 16S ribosomal RNA". It matches the Rfam family "Bacterial small subunit ribosomal RNA", at positions 524 to 776 of the family's 1533-position model. The record is from RNAcentral.
UACGUAGGGUGCGAGCGUUAAUCGGAAUUACUGGGCGUAAAGCGUGCGCAGGCGGUUCGUUGUGUCUGAUGUGAAAGCCCCGGGCUCAACCUGGGAAUGGCAUUGGAAACUGGCGAGCUAGAGUGUGGCAGAGGGGGUGGAAUUCCGCGUGUAGCAGUGAAAUGCGUAGAGAUGCGGAGGAACACCGAUGGCGAAGGCAGCCCCCUGGGCUGACACUGACGCUCAGGCACGAAAGCGUGGGGAGCAAACAGG